AGAGUUGGAUCCUGGCUCAGGAUGAACGCUAGCGACAGGCUUAACACAUGCAAGUCGAGGGGCAGCACAGGUAGCAAUACCGGGUGGCGACCGGCGCACGGGUGAGUAACGCGUAUGCAACUUGCCUAUCAGAGGGGGAUAACCCGGCGAAAGUCGGACUAAUACCGCAUGAAGCAGGGAUCCCGCAUGGGAAUAUUUGCUAAAGAUUCAUCGCUGAUAGAUAGGCAUGCGUUCCACUAGGCAGUUGGCGGGGUAACGGCCCACCAAACCGACGAUGGAUAGGGGUUCUUAGAGGAAGGUCCCCCACAUUGGUACUGAGACACGGACCAAACUCCUACGGGAGGCAGCAGUGAGGAAUAUUGGUCAAUGGGCGUAAGCCUGAACCAGCCAAGUCGCGUGAGGGAUGAAGGUUCUAUGGAUCGUAAACCUCUUUUAUAAGGGAAUAAAGUGCGGGACGUGUCCCGUUUUGUAUGUACCUUAUGAAUAAGGAUCGGCUAACUCCGUGCCAGCAGCCGCGGUAAUACGGAGGAUCCGAGCGUUAUCCGGAUUUAUUGGGUUUAAAGGGUGCGUAGGCGGCCUUUUAAGUCAGCGGUGAAAGUCUGUGGCUCAACCAUAGAAUUGCCGUUGAAACUGGGAGGCUUGAGUAUGUUUGAGGCAGGCGGAAUGCGUGGUGUAGCGGUGAAAUGCUUAGAUAUCACGCAGAACCCCGAUUGCGAAGGCAGCCUGCCAAGCCAUGACUGACGCUGAUGCACGAAAGCGUGGGGAUCAAACAGGAUUAGAUACCCUGGUAGUCCACGCAGUAAACGAUGAUCACUAGCUGUUUGCGAUACACAGUAAGCGGCACAGCGAAAGCGUUAAGUGAUCCACCUGGGGAGUACGCCGGCAACGGUGAAACUCAAAGGAAUUGACGGGGGCCCGCACAAGCGGAGGAACAUGUGGUUUAAUUCGAUGAUACGCGAGGAACCUUACCCGGGUUUGAACGCAUUCGGACCGAGGUGGAAACACCUUUUCUAGCAAUAGCCGUUUGCGAGGUGCUGCAUGGUUGUCGUCAGCUCGUGCCGUGAGGUGUCGGCUUAAGUGCCAUAACGAGCGCAACCCUUGCCACUAGUUACUAACAGGUAAAGCUGAGGACUCUGGUGGGACUGCCAGCGUAAGCUGCGAGGAAGGCGGGGAUGACGUCAAAUCAGCACGGCCCUUACAUCCGGGGCGACACACGUGUUACAAUGGCGUGGACAAAGGGAGGCCACCUGGCGACAGGGAGCGAAUCCCCAAACCACGUCUCAGUUCGGAUCGGAGUCUGCAACCCGACUCCGUGAAGCUGGAUUCGCUAGUAAUCGCGCAUCAGCCAUGGCGCGGUGAAUACGUUCCCGGGCCUUGUACACACCGCCCGUCAAGCCAUGGGAGCCGGGGGUACCUGAAGUCCGUAACCGCGAGGAUCGGCCUAGGGUAAAACUGGUGACUGGGGCUAAGUCGUAACAAGGUA
This 1483-nucleotide ribosomal RNA is filed under the name metagenome. Its description in RNAcentral is "bacterial SSU rRNA". It matches the Rfam family "Bacterial small subunit ribosomal RNA". The record is from RNAcentral.